GGUUAAGCGACUAAGCGUACACGGUGGAUGCCCUGGCAGUCAGAGGCGAUGAAGGGCGUGCUAAUCUGCGAUAAGCGCCGGUAAGGUGAUAUGAACCGUUAUAACCGGCGAUACCCGAAUGGGGAAACCCAGUGUGAUUCGUCACACUAUCAUUAACUGAAUCCAUAGGUUAAUGAGGCGAACCGGGGGAACUGAAACAUCUAAGUACCCCGAGGAAAAGAAAUCAACCGAGAUUCCCCCAGUAGCGGCGAGCGAACGGGGAGGAGCCCAGAGCCUGAAUCAGCAUGUGUGUUAGUGGAAGCGUCUGGAAAGGCGCGCGAUACAGGGUGACAGCCCCGUACACAAAAGCGCAUGUGCUGUGAGCUCGAUGAGUAGGGCGGGACACGUGGUAUCCUGUCUGAAUAUGGGGGGACCAUCCUCCAAGGCUAAAUACUCCUGACUGACCGAUAGUGAACCAGUACCGUGAGGGAAAGGCGAAAAGAACCCCGGCGAGGGGAGUGAAAAAGAACCUGAAACCGUGUACGUACAAGCAGUGGGAGCACAGGUUUACCUGUGUGACUGCGUACCUUUUGUAUAAUGGGUCAGCGACUUAUAUUCUGUAGCAAGGUUAACCGAAUAGGGGAGCCGGAGGGAAACCGAGUCUUAAUUGGGCGUUAAGUUGCAGGGUAUAGACCCGAAACC
Molecule: ribosomal RNA, 681 nt
Filed under: Salmonella enterica subsp. enterica serovar Infantis
Lineage: Bacteria; Pseudomonadati; Pseudomonadota; Gammaproteobacteria; Enterobacterales; Enterobacteriaceae
Also listed under: 4 other names
Description: partial 23S ribosomal RNA
Rfam family: Bacterial large subunit ribosomal RNA
Source: RNAcentral